RNAcentral lists this ribosomal RNA (497 nucleotides) under uncultured bacterium. RNAcentral's name for it is "partial 16S ribosomal RNA". It matches the Rfam family "Bacterial small subunit ribosomal RNA", at positions 28 to 507 of the family's 1533-position model. The record is from RNAcentral.
GAUGGACGCUGGCGGCGUGCCUAAUACAUGCAAGUCGAGCGAACAGAUAAGGAGCUUGCUCCUUUGACGUUAGCGGCGGACGGGUGAGUAACACGUGGGUAACCUACCUAUAAGACUGGGAUAACUUCGGGAAACCGGAGCUAAUACCGGAUAAUAUUUCGAACCGCAUGGUUCGAUAGUGAAAGAUGGUUUUGCUAUCACUUAUAGAUGGACCCGCGCCGUAUUAGCUAGUUGGUAAGGUAACGGCUUACCAAGGCGACGAUACGUAGCCGACCUGAGAGGGUGAUCGGCCACACUGGAACUGAGACACGGUCCAGACUCCUACGGGAGGCAGCAGUAGGGAAUCUUCCGCAAAGGGCGAAAGCCUGACGGAGCAACGCCGCGUGAGUGAUGAAGGUCUUCGGAUCGUAAAACUCUGUUAUUAGGGAAGAACAUACGUGUAAGUAACUGUGCACGUCUUGACGGUACCUAAUCAGAAAGCCACGGCUAACUACGUG